UUUUUAGCAAAAAAAUAUGAAACCAUUUAUGAUUGCAAGCAUUAGCUAUUAUAAGGUGACAGAUUCAUAAAGGAAAAGUUGAGAUGAAGCAGCUAUGUGAUUUUCUUUUCUAGAUUUCCAACAACAUAUCUUUUCCAACCAAAAAGAUAAAAUAUGUCCAAUAGCUGGCUCAAGCAAGUAGUGAACUGAUUUUGGUCAGAAUAAACCAAUCGAUCCAACCCUAGGAUUAGGCAUGUCUUCUCC
RNAcentral lists this unclassified non-coding RNA (243 nucleotides) under Hevea brasiliensis (rubber tree). Lineage: Eukaryota; Viridiplantae; Streptophyta; Magnoliopsida; Malpighiales; Euphorbiaceae. The record is from RNAcentral.